AUGCAAGUCGGACGGCAGCAGGUCCUUCGGGAUGCUGGCGAGUGGCGGACGGGUGAGUAAUGCGUAGGAACCUAUCCUUUUGUGGGGGACAACCCAGGGAAACUUGGGCUAAUACCGCAUAAGCCCUGAGGGGGAAAGCGGGGGAUCUUCGGACCUCGUGCUGAAGGAGGGGCCUACGUCCGAUUAGCUAGUUGGUGGGGUAAAGGCCUACCAAGGCGACGAUCGGUAGCUGGUCUGAGAGGAUGAUCAGCCACACUGGAACUGAAACACGGUCCAGACUCCUACGGGAGGCAGCAGUGGGGAAUAUUGCGCAAUGGGGGAAACCCUGACGCAGCAACGCCGUGUGAGCGAUGAAGGCCUUCGGGUUGUAAAGCUCUGUUAAAUAAGAAGAAACUCCCAUAUUCUAAUACAAUAUGGGAUUGACGGUAUUAUUAGAGAAAGCACCGGCUAACUCCGUGCCAGCAGCCGCGGUAAUACGGAGGGUGCGAGCGUUAAUCGGAAUUACUGGGCGUAAAGGGCGCGUAGGCGGUGGGUUACGUCUGCCGUGAAAUCCCCGGGCUCAACCUGGGAAUGGCGGUGGAAACGGGCUGACUGGAGUAUGGGAGAGGGUGAUGGAAUUCCAGGUGUAGCGGUGAAAUGC
RNAcentral lists this ribosomal RNA (640 nucleotides) under uncultured bacterium. RNAcentral describes it as "bacterial SSU rRNA". It matches the Rfam family "Bacterial small subunit ribosomal RNA", at positions 55 to 689 of the family's 1533-position model. The record is from RNAcentral.